GGUGCGGUAGCUCAGUUGGUAGAGCACUAGACUGAAAAUCUAGGUGUCGCCGGUUCGACCCCGGCCCACACCA
RNAcentral lists this transfer RNA (73 nucleotides) under Chitinophagaceae bacterium. Its description in RNAcentral is "tRNA-Phe". It matches the Rfam family "tRNA". From Rfam's summary of the family: Transfer RNA (tRNA) molecules are approximately 80 nucleotides in length. Their secondary structure includes four short double-helical elements and three loops (D, anti-codon, and T loops). Further hydrogen bonds mediate the characteristic L-shaped molecular structure. tRNAs have two regions of fundamental functional importance: the anti-codon, which is responsible for specific mRNA codon recognition, and the 3' end, to which the tRNAs corresponding amino acid is attached (by aminoacyl-tRNA synthetases). tRNAs cope with the degeneracy of the genetic code in two manners: having more than one tRNA (with a specific anti-codon) for a particular amino acid; and 'wobble' base-pairing, i.e. permitting non-standard base-pairing at the 3rd anti-codon position. The record is from RNAcentral. Lineage: Bacteria; Pseudomonadati; Bacteroidota; Chitinophagia; Chitinophagales; Chitinophagaceae.